AUACGUAGGGGGCGAGCGUUGUCCGGAAUGAUUGGGCGUAAAGGGCGCGUAGGCGGCCCGGUAAGUCUGGAGUGAAAGUCCUGUUUUUAAGAUGGGAAUUGCUUUGGAUACUGUCGGGCUUGAGUGCAGGAGAGGUAAGUGGAAUUCCCAGUGUAGCGGUGAAAUGCGUAGAGAUUGGGAGGAACACCAGUGGCGAAGGCGACUUACUGGACUGUAACUGACGCUGAGGCGCGAAAGUGUGGGGAGCAAACAGGAUUAGAUACCCUGGUAGUCCGCACAGUAAACGAUGAAUGCUAGGUGUAGGGGGUAUCGACCCCUUCUGUGCCGCAGUCAACACAAUAAGCAUUCCGCCUGGGGAGUACGGCCGCAAGGUUGAAACUCAAAGGAAUUGACGGGG
RNAcentral lists this ribosomal RNA (397 nucleotides) under uncultured bacterium. RNAcentral describes it as "partial 16S ribosomal RNA". It matches the Rfam family "Bacterial small subunit ribosomal RNA", at positions 523 to 918 of the family's 1533-position model. The record is from RNAcentral.